Long non-coding RNA from Oncorhynchus gorbuscha (pink salmon), 888 nucleotides. RefSeq lists it as uncharacterized. The transcript has 4 exons. Lineage: Eukaryota; Metazoa; Chordata; Actinopteri; Salmoniformes; Salmonidae. The record is from RefSeq and is a predicted model, not a curated record.
AGAUUACUAUGCCUGUUUGCGGGGAAUGAACUACCUGGAUGCCUUCCUCAGGAAGACGGUGUGUAACUGUCAGAUAGUGAACCUGGGGGCAGGGCUGGACACCACUUUCUGGAGGUUAAAGGAAGAAAACCUCGAAACCAAGUCGACUUUCCGAUGAUUGCUUGCAGGAAAAUACACAACAAAAAAGAAUAGAGCAUCUGGAGUUUCUGGAUGAAAAGGAACUUCUGCAGCAGCUCCUCCAACACUCAGUAUCUGCUGGGCCACCAAGGACAAGUUCAAGCAGGAGUCUCACAAGUAGCUUUCUGAACCUGGACUGUCUUGUCUUAAGCCUCUUUCUCUGUGCCAUGAUCAACACUAUCAAGAGAGGAGAGAAAAAACCCAUCAACACCUUCACAUCAGACUCAAGUCUUGUCUGCUCUGUGGGAAAUGCAUGGCAUCAGCAGAAUUCGUCUGAAUGUGUUUCCGUUGCAUCCCAUAAAAGCAACCACUGUCUCCCAACAUACUUUUGUGAAGAGAAGGGAUGUUUCCGCUGGAAGUGUGAUACAGUGCAUUCGGAAAGUAUUCAGACCCCUUGACAUUUUCCACAUUUUUUUAUGUUACAGCCUUAUUCUAAAAAUGUAUGUAAUCAUUUUUUCCCUCAUCAAUCUACACACAAUACCCCAUAAUGACAAAAUAAAGCAAAAACAUGUUUUUAGAAAUGUUUUCAAAUUUAUAAAAAACAGAAAUACCUUAUUGACAUAACUAUUCAGAUCCUUCAUUAUGGAAUUGAAAUUGAGCUCAGGUGCAUCCCAUUGAUCAUCCUUGAGAUGUUUUACAACUUGGGAGUCCACCUGUGGUAUAUUCAAUUGAUUGGACAUGAUUUGGAAAGGCACACACCUGUCUAUAUUU